UCGUACAAAAUGUGAGAGAGGCAUGCAAGGGCUGUCGCUGACUCCAAGUCGUGCACGCCGGAGUGUGCCCUCUCACAUAAUAAUCCAUCUCACCCUUUGUGCACCACCGCGUGGGCACCCUUUGGGAUCAGACUGAUCUCGGAGGAUGCUCGCGUUUUCACACAAACCCCCCUUUUAAAAGUGUAGAGUGACCUCAUUUAUGCGCUAACCCGCAAUCAAUAC
RNAcentral lists this unclassified non-coding RNA (222 nucleotides) under Lactarius chrysorrheus. Its description in RNAcentral is "internal transribed spacer 1". Lineage: Eukaryota; Fungi; Basidiomycota; Agaricomycetes; Russulales; Russulaceae. The record is from RNAcentral.